Molecule: ribosomal RNA, 253 nt
Filed under: uncultured bacterium
Lineage: Bacteria
Description: partial 16S ribosomal RNA
Rfam family: Bacterial small subunit ribosomal RNA
Source: RNAcentral
UACAGAGGUCCCAAGCGUUGUUCGGAUUCAUUGGGCGUAAAGGGUGCGUAGGUGGCGCCGUAAGUGGGGUGUGAAAUUUCGGAGCUUAACUCCGAAACUGCAUUCCAUACUGCGGUGCUUGAGGACUGGAGAGGAGACUGGAAUUCAUGGUGUAGCAGUGAAAUGCGUAGAGAUCAUGAGGAAGACCAGUGGCGAAGGCGGGUCUCUGGACAGCUCCUGACACUGAGGCACGAAGGCCAGGGGAGCAAACGGG